GACGAACGCUGGCGGCGUGCUUAACACAUGCAAGUCGAACGAAGAGCGAUGGAAGCUUGCUUCUAUCAAUCUUAGUGGCGAACGGGUGAGUAACGCGUAAUCAACCUGCCCUUCAGAGGGGGACAACAGUUGGAAACGACUGCUAAUACCGCAUACGAUCUAAUCUCGGCAUCGAGGAUAGAUGAAAGGUGGCCUCUACAUGUAAGCUAUCACUGAAGGAGGGGAUUGCGUCUGAUUAGCUAGUUGGAGGGGUAAAGGCCCACCAAGGCGAUGAUCAGUAGCCGGUCUGAGAGGAUGAACGGCCACAUUGGGACUGAGACACGGCCCAGACUCCUACGGGAGGCAGCAGUGGGGAAUCUUCCGCAAUGGACGAAAGUCUGACGGAGCAACGCCGCGUGAGUGAUGACGGCCUUCGGGUUGUAAAGCUCUGUUAAUCGGGACGAAAGGCCUUCUUGCGAAUAGUGAGAAGGAUUGACGGUACCGGAAUAGAAAGCCACGGCUAACUACGUG
This 510-nucleotide ribosomal RNA is filed under the name uncultured bacterium. RNAcentral describes it as "partial 16S ribosomal RNA". It matches the Rfam family "Bacterial small subunit ribosomal RNA", at positions 28 to 507 of the family's 1533-position model. The record is from RNAcentral.